Long non-coding RNA from Columba livia (rock pigeon), 22378 nucleotides. RefSeq lists it as uncharacterized. Lineage: Eukaryota; Metazoa; Chordata; Aves; Columbiformes; Columbidae. The transcript has 3 exons. The record is from RefSeq and is a predicted model, not a curated record.
GCCGCGCUGGGCAGGGCCGGGGCUGGGCCGGGCGCCGCUCCCCUUCGCUCUGCUCCGCCCCGGGCCGGGCGGCGUGGGGUGUCAUAGGCCCCUGUUCGCGGCGGACCCCCACCGCCGUGCCCGGAGCCGCCUUGCCGCUCGCGGGGCGCUGGGGCGGGCGGGGACGCCGCUGCCCGCGGGCGAUAAGGCCGGGAGGCGGCUGCAGCCGGGCGAUAAGGGGGGCGGGGCCGGACCAAGCUGCUGGGGGAGCCGGGGCCACGAGGGGCGGGGCAGCGCAGCGCAGCGGCCGCUUAACGGUCGCCGUGAGGUGCAGCUCGCGGCUGUGCGCGGGGCCGUUAGUGCGCGGUGUGCACUGAAGUUUAGGUGCGUGAGGGGGAUGUGGGGCCGGGCGGCCGGAGGGCUCCGGGGAGGUGCUGCCGCUGGAAGCGGGAGCAGGUUUUCACGUGGGGAUAACUUUGAGGAGCAGAAGGGCUGGAAUAAAGUCCCCAAGUAGAAAGUGUUUCGAAAGCAAUGGGUGGCAAAGAAGGUAAUAGACUGCUCCUGUUUUGACUUAUCAAGUGGUGCAAAGUGGUCAUGAGCUGUACCUGAGCCCUGGGUGGGCUACAUGAAGUGGGUCUGUCUCAUGGGAGGGACCACGCAGGGCUCUUCUGCCUGGAAAGAGGCAAAACACAUCUUUAUCUGAGGCGUGGGGACACACCACAAGAGAAAGACCGAGCACUUUGUUCUGGCUUCACCAUCUGGUUCUCUGUUGCAGCCUUCCUGUGGUACUGUGCAGCCUGCAGUUGUGAUGGGAGCUUCUUCACACUAUGCAGGACAUGUGGAAGCCUGUUGCUGUCCACUGUGUUCCUGGAACAACAGUUGUGCACUUUUCCAUAAGAGUUGGGCUAUGUCUUGCUGUGGGCAGGAUUGCUGGCUGUGUUUUCUCCUCACCCUGUAAUAUCAACCCAUUUUGAAAGCUCUAAUAUAAAAGUGUUCUGUAAUGUAAGCAUAGAGUAAAAGAAACGUGUACAAAGUAACAGGUCAGCUGCUGAGGCACCUUCUGAAGGGCAUCCUGAAAUGCUGACAUUUAGCACUCCAAACAAAGGGCUGUUGUUUAGCAUCAGUGUGGGGAAUGAGGGAAAUACAUCCUAGUUCUGGUUGCCAUGGGAUUUGAUGUAUCCUGAGCAUUGGCUAUAACCUCUUUGGAGUCUGGCAGAGGAUUUCAGAGAGAAAUGACACUUUUCCUGUAAUGCUGUGUGGACACAUGUUCACGUGAGAGCAUUUCUGAGGGGAAAAUAUGUGAACACAGUAUCUCUGUUGAACUCAACAUUGCCCAAAUUGCUGGAAGGUUGAUUUCCUUUCAGGAAAAUUAAGCUAAAUGCAUGUCUUUGCUUCUGCCUUCCAAACAGAUCACCAGCAUUGCUUCAUGCAAUCUACAUUGACUUCUGUAAUACUUAAACACGUGCUUCUUCACUGAAUAAGGAUUUUCUCUUGAAUGAGGACCUUGAGCAGUGCUGAUUUAUCACUUCAGUAAGGCUUUUGGUGUUUUUAUGGUUGUCUUUGCCUUUUACCUGUGAGCAAGUGGAGAUUGGUAGAAGUUGACUCAUUACAUCUAAAGAGAUAGCAAAGCCUGUGGCAGGAAUCACUCUACAGCCCCCAAGUAGAUGCAUUUUGUAAGAAAAGUUCAUGCCAUUCUGUGUCCUUGGUCUCUUCUUACCCAGUGGUCCGCAAUUCCUCUACAGACACAGGACUGGAAGUGUCCCAGUCAUGUGAUGGCAGUGCACAGACAUAUUGAGGGACAUCAUCUGCAGUCUGAGUGGCAGGUGUAUUUUCAUUAACAGCACUGGGAAAAGGACAGGGUGCAAAGGCUUUAAAUGCUUCUAUUAGAGCUGUAUUGGCUCCCGUGCCUGAAACUAAGCGCAGCUGUACAUAAAACUGUGGAUGCUGGUUUUGAUUUUGAGCUCUGGCACUAAUUCACAGUUAGUAAUUCACAUUGCUUUCUACACCUCAGGUUUUCUAUCUGUAAGAGGGAAAUGCCAGUAACCCCAACUUGCAGCUAGAGGUAUUGUAAAGAUUAGUUGGCAUUUUUGGCAUGUUAAGAAUUAGUCUUUCCCCAAAAUGAAAAUAAUGUGUUAUAGUAGAAGUGAAAUACUAUCCUUGUGUCUUUAAUGCCUUAAAAUACAUUCUCAAAUCUUGGUUGGAGGAAAUGUAGCUGAUAAUCAUCAUCAGGCCUCAAAAUAAGGAUUGUCAGGGGAUUUUUGCUUUGGUUUAUAUUAAUUAUUAGGCAGUGUCCCUCCCUGCUGGCCGUCACUUUAAAUGAUUUGUCAGCAGCAGCAGCAAGGGAAUUGAAGGUAAUAACAUGGCACUACACUUUGUUUAGCUGAGAAAGACUAGAGCACAGCCAUGGCAAGAGAGCCCGUCCCUGCGGUGGGGCCGGAACAUAACUGCGGUGACAGUAGAGGACAGGGACUUUGCUGCCUCUCUGCACAGCAGGUGUUUCCUUCUCUGCCAGUGUUGUUACCCAUGGCACAGGCUGUGUAAUGGGCAUUCAACACUGCCUCUAAUUUCCCCUGGCAUAUUACUGUGGCUAGGAUGAUGAGUGACCUGAAGACCAUUUCAUUUUUGUUUAAUAACAAUGUAAACCUUUCAUUUACCUAUGCUCUUUAGAGGAAGCCUGUGCAGGCACUCUGUGUGAAUCACACCUGAGAUUGGUUUAAAUGGGUAAAGCUUUGUUAAGACAAGGUUGAGAUUUGUUGUUUGUGAAACAAGAAAUAACAUUGAUAAAGAAUUGAAAUCGAGUCAGCACUUCCUUGAAUAAAGUCAUUAAAUAAGAUAUAAAAUACUUGAUAAAAGUGUUGAAGUGGUGUAGAGAGCACUUGAAAAACAAAUUCUUCUGGGUGAAUUGGGAGUUUUGUGUUUAUUGGAGGGGAUACAAAAUUUGUUUCUGUAAACACGGGUAGUGAGUGAUAGUGUUGAUUUCCUGUUUCAUAAUGUCUUUCACUCUUUUUUUUUUUUUUUUUUUUCCUAAUUUCUGGCAAUCAUUUGUUAUUGUGAUGUCAUUUUAUUAUUUAAAAAAAAAUCUUCGACAACACCAGACUGUUUUUCAGGCCGUGUCUUUAUGAACUCACACAGGAACCAUUAAAACACUUAACAGAUAUUUCUAGCUAUUGGCAGCAAUUUUAGGCCACUAUUUCCAUAGUUUAGUUAAUGUACAUUUUCUUAGUGUGAAUUAGAACCCCUCGUAUGACACUAGAUGCUGGUUAGAGCAUGAGCAAGGGUUGUGCUGUCUUUAUCCAUCUUGGCCUAACUCUCUGUGAUCUAAGCUUCUCUGUGCCACUAACUUCCUUUUUUGUAACUGUUUUGGAGUUGUUCCCUUUUCUGUAUUCCUGCAAGAGCUCAGUGAAAAGCCUCAUGUGACAAAUCAGCAGCUUUCUGAAUCUAUUUUCCAGAGUUUAUUUAGCUCCAAAGCUUUUAUUAAAAACUCUUGGAUUUCCUUCAGUGUUUUUUUUACUUCUUAGUUCUAUUUAAUUCUCUGUGUGUGUUUGGAAUGCUUCUUUCAAAGGCACCUGCAGUUUGUCUAAACUGGUUUCAGAACUUUGCCCAGAGUCACCCAGAGCCUCUGUAUCACACAGGAUAGCUUGCAACGUGCUUUGUGAGGGCUGUGUUCCUAUGUAUCACAGAUUGCUUUGCACCUGUAGGGAAUGUGUAGGAAAUUUCCUGCAGAUCCAUGUAUUUUCACCCAGGCUUGACUCUAGUGGUGGCAGUUAGGAGAGGAGGUGAGGAGCUGAAGGGCAGGAGGCGAGGUUUGCAGCUGCCUGGCUGUGCCCGGGCCCUGCAGUGUCUACCUGAGUCCCAUGGCUGGGGGAGUGGGCUGGGAGGAUGUCAUGGUGGAGUCCAGGAUGGCCUUGGCCUGACAGGUUAGUGGAACUACUGUGCCUGGUGAAGGGGUGGGGAGGAACUCUGCAUAGCUUUCUUGUUGCAAAUUCUCUAUGCAAAUUCAUGUGAGGUACGAUGUUAAUUUGGAUUCACAAUACUUAUGUUUUAUGAACAUAUUUACAUUAACUUUUUUUUUGGCGUGGAAUAAGUGAGGGAGCAGAAUUUGUUAAGUCUAGGAGCAGAGAAACCUGAAAGGGUACAGUCUUUAGAUAUGUAAAAGGCAUGUUUUGUGCUUCUAGAGUACACAGGACAGGAAGUAAUACACACUUAAAAUAUAAUGAGAUUCAGUUACACAUUAGAAAAAAACUUUCUGUAAGGACAGUGAAAGACUGGAAGAAGCACCCUCAGCAAAAUAUGGAGUCCCUAUCAUUGAAGUUUCAGGCACUGUUCAUCAGUCAGUCGGGAGUUAGAGCCGAUCCUGCUUUUGAGAGGAGGGGGAAGGACCUGUAUGACCUGUUAAUCUCCUGUUCUCUGCGUGAAAAUCAAUGGCCUAAUAUAUUGACCACCGAAGGUGGGGAGAGACUUGCUGAUCUGAAGGGCUGUCUUGAAGUGAAGUAAGCCCAACUCAGUUCCAUGAAUGAACUUUCUCACACAAACAGCCUGUUGGAUUCAAGUUACUGCACUUAUAUGAGAGAAACGUGUAUGUCAGGGUGGAACAUCAGAACAGAGCGGCUUAAUGAAAGUUUUCUUUUUUACACAUUACGUGAAUCAUCUUUUAAAAGUGUUUUUUGUGUGUGUGUUUUAAGAUGCUUUGAGUUAAAGAUAGAGGGUUGAAAAUGUUUUAAGUGGUGUUUUUUGUUUGUGUGGUGUUUCCUUUAUCUGUGUUUAGCUUCCUCCUGCUCACAACUGUACCGCCUUUAGUCUGAUCAUAUGAAUGUAUGUGCAAUGAAGUCCUCUACUGUGAAGAAAACCAUUAUGAGAUCAGUAUAUGCUUGGGCAGUAUGCAUAUAAUAUAUUGCAACAGAUCUUUGCUCAGAGCAGGAAUUCUACCUUUGCCCCUAAUUCUGCUCUUGCCUCAGUUCUAAUCAGGGCUAUCUCGGAAGAUAACAGCAAAUCUUCUGUUAUUUGAUUGCAAAGCUGAUGUAACCUUUAGUCUAUCUGGGAGACUGAUUGGUGUAGCAGUGCCAGAAUAGCCCUAUUCUAUGGUCAGCUAAGAACGCCUUCAUCAGAGACUGAUAUAGUGACUCCACACAUUUUCCUAUUCAGGUGCAGUCAUACUUGUUACGUUUCCCAUGUAGGUCAGAUCAGAGAGAGGAGAUUGAUAACUUGAUUGAUCUUAAAUGUCAGCAAGUACUUGUGAAACUUUUACAUUUAUCUUCCUUUAUCAUUGGCCUGUUGAGUUAUCACUCAGCCAACUGACCUUACCUUGUCACAUCACCCAGGACAUUUUGUUAUGGCAUUCCCUGUUCUGUCUGUCACACAGUAGAUACACCAGCCACGCAUCAUCCAACAUGUGGAGCAUUUGCAGCUGCCUGGGACUCAAAAAGGCUGAAAGGUUAGGACUUGCUGGAGUGAGGAGAGGUCUGUAGAUAGUCUCUGUUCUUAAUAAUACCUCUGCUUGAUGAAAGGGACUCAGAGAGGGCUUGGGUGUGGAGUUAUAGAGCCAAGAAAGGGAACAAACAGCCCAUCGUCUUGCGUGCUCUGUGCCACCCCAGCUUAGGGGCAGGGCGUGAGACCAAAAGCUAGAGUUCUGGGUUGUGUGCAGAACUGGCAUCUGAAGGUUUAUUCAUCUGAAUAGGGAACAGAAAAGCAUCAUGAUACUUGGGUGACAAGUGAAAGAACUGUAAUUGGAAAUGCUUUCUGAAAUUCAGCUAUUUCUUUCAGAGAAGGACCGUAGCCUGAUACAGUUUCACAUCAAACCUUGGUGAAAAGAAGUUGCACAGCCUACAGGCAUAAAGUAUUGUACCUAACUGAGGUGGAGAGGAAACAGGCUUCUAUCCCAUAAAACCUUUUUCCUGUUCUGCAUUGAUAAAGAACAGACACCUCUGAAAGAUUUAACUGGAACCAGAGUAAUGAGUAUACCAACACACUGGUAUUUAUUUAGAUUUUUGGAAGAACUACUUUCAAAUCCCAACAAUGCUUUGUGUGGAAUAGAAGUUGAAGCGUGCAUUUCUUGCAUCCAGACAGGUAUCUGAUUGAAAGUGGUUGAUGCCACACAGUGCCAUCUAUUCAUACAGAGGAGAGAAUUUGUUACCUCAGAUUUUGGACAUAAGGUUGGGUUUGCAUGGAAUUACAUUGUUGUACAAAGAGCUGAUUUUUUUCUUUUUAGCUGGCUGUGGACUAAAAAAAUAAGUUUUCUAAGAGAAUAUCAUGUAAGGAAUAUAGUGCAGGGCUCAAGGUGCACACUCUAGGAGUGUAAUGGACUCUGCAGAGGCUUGAGAGAUGUUGCUUUCCACCCAGGUUGUUAACUUUACUAAUGUUGUGUUGGAAAUUAAUUGGACAGUCAAUAAGUCUGUACCUGUAAGCAGGAUUAUAUUUUUCACUCUUUCCACCUGGAGGUGGUGCUGAAUCAAAGCCUUAGCUCCAAAACACCCUGACCUGUGAGUAUUUGAAAGCUAGAUUUUUUUUUUUUUAACUUCAAGCUUGGGAAGAGGCUGUGUUUGUGAAAGCUUUGUGCCAUAUUUGAUAAUUUCGCUGUUUCUCUGUAGAGUGAUUGCUUGGCAUUUUUUCAGGUAAAAAAUGUUACAGGCGGUGUAGGCAUGAGAACAAAAUGGGAGGAGUGACAUCUGCUGGACAAUAACGAGAAUGCACAUAACUAAUUUUUUUCCCCUCAAGACCAUGAAAAGUAAAUAAAUUCCUAGUAAAUGGCCUGGGAUCACUUAGAAUUUAUAAAACUUGAAAUUUAGAGAUAAUUUGUUAUCACCGCAUCUGCUUCUGUCUGCCAUCAGCCUCUGAUAAGCAGUAACUUUCUCGCAUGAUGACUGAUGCCAAGACCUGGUUACUCUUAACACAGUCUAAUGUCUUGUUUGUUUGUUUUUAGGAAUAUUUUUACAUGUCUAUCCCUUUCCCACAACCAGAAUGACCUUAGGAUCAUACAGGGUUUUUUUGUUUCGUUUGGUUUUGUUUUUUUUUUUUUUUUUAGGAUGUUGGCAGGAGGUAAUCUUGUGAAUAGCUUAGUGUCGAGGCUUAAGAUUGUGGGGUGACAAUAAAACCCUGGCAGAUGUAUUGUUAAACCCCUUUCCCCCCCCCACUUCCUCCUUUUUGCCCCUUCCUCUCCCCCCUUCCCACUCAGGACAGGCGAUCGGGAGGGAAAGGAGGACAGAGAGAAGAGAGUUGGAAAAAUUAACAAUGUUUUACUAAUGCUACUAAUAAGAAUAGAGAAAAUAAUACAAAAUAUACAAAACCAAUCUUGAAAGUCUCAGCAACUGCAGAGCCGGCACCCAAAGUCCUGGAUUGGACUCUGCAGCCAACCGGAGCUGGAUUCAGUCUCUCAUUAGGCCUCAGUUCGCGUGGACGACUAGCAAGGUCCUCUCCUAGUGUCGGCCAUAAGCAGAAGGGAAAAAGCAAAGGCAAAAGGGACGAGAUCCUCAUGAUCUCCCACUUUUAUAUGAAGUAUUCACGUGAAUGGAAUGUUAUACACAGUUGGUCAGUUUCUUGGUCACCGGUCCAUGCUUACCAAUAAGUUUGCAUUCCAUUGCUAUGUUUACCAAAACAUGUGUCUGGUUCUCCAGGAAAAUGCAGUUAAUAUGAAGGCUUUAGCUGACAGGCAAAAUUCACUGAAAGUGAAACUUGUUUUUAACAAAACCAAGACACUUAGUUGUGGAGAAAAAUUAUUUGGAAAGAAACUAAGUUCAGAAAAUAUCAGGUGUUUUCUUAUACUGAGAACCUAACUUUCUCGUUUAUUAUUCUUGGUGUUAGAAGAGCUGACACUGUUCACUUCCACUGGGAAGGAUUUGAGUCUUGGACUGGACUUUCAUCGUUCAGCCCAUGUCUCUACAAGCUCAGGCAACCUUGUUGAAUGGAUUCUGCCUAAGGGUACAGAAUGGACUACGCCUGUAUGAUCCAGGUGGAGGAGAUCGGUAGUUUUAAUAGGUUAUUUUCUCCUGUAAUUUCCAAAGGCUUGUUUUCUAGGCCAGUGGACCAGUGUAACUGAUGUUGCUACCACAUACUUACAGACAAAUUCCAGUUGUCCAGUUCCCAUUGAAGUAGGAGCCAGAUAAAAAUCUCUGUUGCUCCUGGACAGUGCUUGGCUUCUUGUUUUAUACAACACUAUGAUUUCAGGUUAAAUUUGGAACACUGAGAAAUGAGCUAGUGUAUGAACAUAUUUUUUAGAUGUCAGUGAUUAAAAAUGUUGUGCCUUCCUACUCACUUGGCAGGCUUUGGGGAGAAUGCAAACAGACACUUCUUCAGACUUGAGAAAGGAGGGGACUCCAAUGAAAUUAGAUCAGUCUCUCUCUUACUUGGCUUCCUAGGAAGUCACAAGUGUAUUUAGAAAUCCUCCUGUCCAUCCAUUAUAGUAUGAAAUUGGGUAAGUUAGUUGGGUUGAGUUUAGACUCAUGACCACUGCAGUUAGCCCAGUAAUUAAAGUUAUAUAGCAAAUCAUAUGCUCCAGAAGGCUUUUGGUAGGUAAUAUAUAAAAACACAUAUGCAGCUAUGGAAAAUUCUGGUAAAAGAGGUGGCAUUUAAUACCUAGGAGGAGCAGUGGCUGUGUCAACCUGUCAGGUCUCAUGAGUCUCUGAUUUGGCCUUGGAUCCAUCUGGAUGAGCCUGCCCAGCUUUGUUUCUUUUCUAUUCUUUAGGGGUGCAGAAGUGGAGAGAGGAAGAUGAAGGGAUGUGUGGCACGUGUGCUGUGUUAGUAACAUAUCCGUCACAGCUGCAGGAUCUGAAAGGAGAAGGAAGGAAACAGGUGAAAUCUGUUGUGCUCAGAGGAAGUCAGCAUGUGUUUGAAUGCUAGCAAAUUACAGGUUUUUCCCUUAAAACUCUGUGCUCUCAUACUGUGAGAAAGGGACAGAGUUGUCAUUGUUAGAUACCUCCUUUAUGAAGUUAUGAGGUGAGCUUGUUUGGGUGCAAGUUUUGUGGAGAAGUCUGUACUACAACAGGGACGAAGGCCAGUGCCAUUGCUGAGUUCCUCUUGAGUGAGGAGUGUUAUGCUACAUGCUACAUGCAGGGGAGAACAGCAAGGAAAUUUUUCCAAAACUUCAGUAGUUAUAGCUACUGGGAUCUGACAGGAACCUUUCUGAAUUUAGUUUCAGUGCUCUAACAGGUAGCAGAACUUCUUCAAAAUGUAUGCCUAUUGUAUUAAAACUUCUGCACAUAUUUUUCAAGUACGGUAUGUGAUAUGACAGCAAUUGCAGGUAAAGCUACACCAGCUGCUUUUCCUGCAAUGAGUCAGGCCUUUUAGGUUUAUAGUGUCAGUAGCCUUUCUCCAGCCAUGACUUCAUCCAUAAAAGUGUAAGAAAUGCCUUAUUGUGUCAGACCUGUGGCCCAUCUAGAUUAGUAUUUUUGCCUUGAAUGGUAACAGCAGGUUAUAUUAUAUGGAGCUUGGACAUGUUCUUGACCAUUUCAUGUUGUGCAUUCCCCGCAUUCUUUCUCAGCAUCCACAGUCAUUGGAUUAGGACUGUUAUGAGGUACACUUGUGCCCAUUCUUUUACCUGUUUUGGAACCGCUGUGCAUAAAUCAGUCUUCUUUGUAUAGCCUGCUCUUUUGUCUAGCCCACCGAUAUUAGUUUCCUCAGUCCCACAUGACCAGAAAUUUAGCAUUUGCUGUGUUUGUAAAGGAAAGUUAAUGCUUAUGUCUGUUUUAAACCUUUCUUGCAUAGUUUAAGUUAGUGCUCAUACUUCUAAUAUUGCAAGGUUUAGUGAGUAACAGUCUUGCUCUCAUUUUCUCUACUGCCUUCAUGAUUUUGUAGUUCUCAGUUGUAUCCCCCUCAGCCUGCAUGUCUCCAAAUUAAGGAGAGGAAUCUCUCCUCAUAAUGCAGCUGCUCCCUCUCCUAAAUUCCUGUUGUACAAUUCAUAUGCUUGCAAGAAACACAAGUGCUUAAAUGUGGAUGCAUGCCAGUCUCUCAGUAGCUUCAUUUUCCAGCUGUCUGUCACAAGGCAGAAUUGGCUGCUCAAUUAAAGCAGCCAGAGUGAUCACAGCAUAACUUUUUUUUUUGAGCACCUUCUAUUUGACCUUUUUAAAAGCUGCAGUAAGCAGAUUCCAAGGCCACUUGUGGGUUGAACUGCAGCAGCUUUCUGUGUUUGUGGAUGGAGAUGUGCCAAUUCACAACCAUCCCUAUGGAUGUCUAUUGUUUUCUUGGCCUGAAACCAGCUGUUACAAAGGGCCAGAUCCUCACUAGUUGCAUGUAGAGUUUCUGGUCAUAUGGAUUACAGUGCUGGCCAACCACUCAUUUGUACUUUUUGUGGUGAUUCUUGCCUGUGUCAGUGCUGAAUGUGUAGAGUUGGUUUUUACAUCUUGGUAGUUAUAACCCUUGCUGUAUAUGACAGCAUAUCCACGGUGAGAAUGUGGCCUGCUGCAGGGCAGAUACAGGCAGCAGUCACACUUGGAAGCACUGGACUGAUUUUGGCUAGGACACUGAUACUGUCCAUCUUGACAAGUACAUCUCUGGAGGAAAUUGGUGCUGCUGGCAGCAUCUGUCAGUUCACUGGUCUCUGAAAAGUAUGGAGGUUACCUUCAGGUGAUGUGGUUAUGAUAAAACUGCUUCUUCUAUGUUACUAUUCUUGACUUCUGACAGUUUAUUUUAGAUUAAGGUGUCCUGGUUUAUUGAAAAUAAUUGAGAUAUUGCUUUAAAUUUUAAAUGGAGGAGUUAAUUCUUUCACAGAUGACUGAGUAGAUCUUAGGGCCCAUGUUGAGCAAAGAUCCUUUUCUCAGUUUUAAGUCCUGUAGGUGAUUUGACUAUAUAGUGAAGGGAAAGCUGAAAUGUUUAAUUUUAUUAUAUUGGUAAGAAUUAAAGGGUAUAAAAGAAAAGAUCACCAAGAGUAGCACUUAGGCUAAUUAAACAUGUAUGACUGUGUAGUCUGGUAAGCAGAAGACUACAAACAGAAAAUUAGCUAUAUUUUUUUCUCUUUUAUGAAAGUAAAGAUGUAAAAAAUAGAAUGAGAACAAGUGUUGCUUUCAGAUAUUAACAAAAAUCACUGAAUGUGUCUACCUGCUCUCAUCUUAUUGUUGAUUUCACCAUAUUCAUGUGGGAAUAGUGUGAGCUACAACAGUUUUAUGUUGCAGUGACCCUAAUUGUGUAGGGCAUGAGGCACUUUUUCUCUUACAGGUUAUAUACACACAGUGCUAUGAAACCUGCAGCACCCUUUCUGGAUACAUUCUGUGUUGGAGUGUCUUCCUGUCUCUUAAUAAUACUCCUGAGAGUUGCUUUUCAAUGCCUCUAGCUGCUGUAUUUUCACUGCCAAGAAUGUAACCUCGUUCAUCCUUUGCACCAAAUGGUGUCCUGGAAACUUCAUAGUUCAGACUAAGCAAUGAUUACAUACCAGAAUAAACUCUCAGAAACAACUAGUGAAGAUCAAACACAGACACAGUAGGUUCACACCUGAUCUCUCAUCUCUGAUUCUCAAAAUACUUUCUACAAAUAAUCUUAGGAACUAAAGUUGCUAUCAUAAACCAUGGACUCAGCAGAGAUACAGUUUUUAUAGUGAGCUAUAAUCUUACUUCCCACAAACUCUCACUGUUUGACACUGGCAAUUAUCUACUUUUCCUUAACAGAAAUGUGCAACAUUCCUCCUUCACAGGUACCAACUGCUUUUUCUCUUGGAAGCUUUACCAAUGUCUAUUUAAGUACACUCAGACUUCUUUUUCUCAGUAGGUACUUGGCUGUAUUCAGAAAGGAUUCCUGUUCUUGAAGUCUUGCAGGCUUUCUUUUUAUUUCUUUUUUUUUUUUUUUUUAAUUUUAUUUUAUUUUAUUUUUUUUAUUUUUUUUAGCUGUCAUAUUUGGUCUAAUAAAAACUACUACACUGGCCUACACACUCAUUUCAGAGUAAUUUGUAAUGUUAAUGCUGAAAGGAAAAAAAGUUACUCAAGGCAACUGCUCCCUCUGCUGUGGAAUCCUCCUGCCAGAAGCACUGCACUCGCAGAAUUCAUUCAGCUUUGUUUUUCCUGUGACAGGGUUAUGUUGUUGGGCAUUGAUUCCUUGUGCAUAGGAGAAAUUUUGAGAAUUCUUAGGCUUUUGACAACAAAACACUAAUUUCUUAGUCACACUGCUGAAAAAGAAUCACAUUUUUAUAAUUAUAAAUAUUAGGAUAAAAAUUAAAAAUUUGUGACAGUAAAAUAACUGUAAAAUAUUUCAAAUUCAAUGACUUGUCAUAUUUUACAAAUAUUUUAAGUAGUCUUUCUAGGAUUAUGGUUUUAUCAAGUGACACUACACAAGGAAAUUUUUGAUUUAAAUGAAAAUAGAAAAAUAGAAUAAUCCAUUGCUUUCAACAGUUUUUAAUGUACAGAAAAAUAACUCACUGCUCUUUAAGCACCUUCCAUGUAACGUAGAUAGUGUUACUAAAAUUCCUCACUGGCACCUAUGUGGCAUAGACAAAGCUAAUAGAGCUAAUAGACUAAAAAUUCCUUGUUUGUGUUGUGGUUUUUGUUUGUUUGUUUUUGUUGUUGUUUUUUUAGCCUUUACUCUUUCUAUUUUGUUAUCUUCCUUCUGCAAAAACUUGUUUUUUAAAGGAUAGACAAGUGUGUGGCUAUUGUUAAUGAGAUUUCUGUGGCAGACAAGGUAUUUCAAAAGGGAAACAAUAAUUGCCUCAUCUCUUGAAGCCUUUUUUCCAGGCAGGUGCCCCAGGAAGAACACUGUGAACUCUGAGUUCCUGGUCCUGCUGGUUUUGAACUGUGUUGUCUGAUGGGAGUACAGCUUAAAAACGCUUCAAAGAUGGACAUUCGGUCUUUGCUCGAGUUGAGACUUGAUCCACAAAUUAUUGUAGAGAUAAAGGCAGUGGCCUUAAAGAUUGACUGUAUCUACUUUAGUGCUUUGUUUCUGAGCAGUAGUGUGCUUUUAAAGCAGAUCUGGUUGCCCCCGUUUACUGCAUGUGAUUCCAAUGUGUGUGAACCAUACAGGAAAUUCUUUGGAAAAAAUUGAACCAAAAGCCGUGGUUCUGGGUAUGUACCAGGUGUAUCCAGCUCACAAGGAGACACAAAAGUCUGAAGCAAAGAUUGGUUCUCACUACUGCAGAGCCCUCCAGUGUGUCCUGAACAAUCCUGUACCAUUAGAAGGAUAUAGAACUAUGGAGAACAGUUGCAACAUAGAAUCAUAGAAUAGUUUGGGUUGGAAGGGACCUUUAAAGGUCAUCUAGUUCAAGCCCUCUGUAAUGACCAGGGUCAUCUUCAACUAGAUCAGGUUGAUCAGAGCACUGUCCCACCUGACCUUGACUCUUUCCAGGGAUGGGGCAUCUACCACCCCCCUAGGCAACCUGUUCCAGUGUUUCACCACCCUCAUUGUAAAAAGUUUCUUCCUUAUAUUUGAUGUGAAUCUGCCCUCUUUUAGUUUAAAACUAUUAUCCCUUGUCCUGUCACUAAAGGCCCUACUAAAAAUUAUGUCCCCAUCUUUCUUAUAAGCCCCUUUCAAAUAUAGAAAGCCCACAAUAAGGUCUCCCUAGAGCCUUCUCUUCUCCAGGCUGAACAACUCCCGACUGUCUCAGCCUGUCCUCAUAGGAGAUAUGUUCCAUUCUUGAUCAGUUUUGUGGCCCUCCUUUGGAACCUCUCCAAUAGGUCCAUGUCUCUUCUGUACUGAGGACUCCAGAGAUGGAUACAGGACUCCAGGUGGGGCCUCACCAGAGCAGAAUAGGGGGGCAGAAUCACCUCCCUCAACCUGCUGUUCAUGUUCUUUCUUUAUGCAGCCCAGGAUACAGUUGGCUUUCUGGGCUGCAAGUGCACAUUGCUGGCUCAUGUCCAGCUUUUUAUUGACCAGUACCCUCAAGUCCUUCUCCUUCUUGUCUCCUCUCAAUGCCUUCAUCUUCCAGCCUGUAUUGAUACCAGGGCUUGCCCCAACCCAGGUGCAGGACCUUGCACUUGGCCUUCUUGAACCUCAUGAGGUUCUUAUGAGCGCACUUCUCAAGCUUGUCCAGGUCCCUGGCCUCUGGAUGGCACCCUGUUCCUCAGGUGUGUCAACUGCACCACUCAGCUUGGUGUCAUCUGCAAACUUGCUGAGGUUGCACUCAAUCCCACUGUCUAUGUAACUGAUGAAGAUAUGAAACAGUACUGGUCCCAAUAUGGACCUGUGAGGGACACCACUUGUCACUGAUCUCCAUCUGGACAUUAAGCCAUUGACCACUACCUUCUGGAUGCGACCAUCCAACCAAUUCCUUGAUCACUGAACAGUCCAUCCAUGAAAACCACACCUCACCAAUUUAGAGAGAAGGAUUUGUGGGAGUCCAUGUCAAAGGCUUUACAGAAGUCCAGAUAGAUGACAUUUGUAGUUCUUCCCUUGUCCACUGAUGUAGUCACUCCAUCAUAGAAGGCCGUUAGGUUGAUCAGGCAGGACUUGCCCUUUGUGGAGCCAUGCUGGCUGUUUGAAUCACCUCCCUGUCCACCAUGUGCCUUAGCAUAGCUUCUAGGAUGAUCCUCCCAGGCACAGAGGUCAGAAGUGCUUCUUCACAUGCACUUUCUUGUUUGCCAUUAGCUGCUGUCCCUUACCUCUCUGUCUUUGCUGCUGCUUUCCCCAUCCUCCUCCUGGCUUGAAAUGUGUUAUUUUCUUUAGCUGUCCUGUUUCUGUUGCAAUCUACCCUUGCUGAACCCCUCCUGUCUUGUGGCAACCUCUCUUAUUUAAGUAUUUGUCCUUUCUGCUAUAGUCUUUUGCUGUUGUGAUAAACUCCUUCAGGCUCUCUGAGGAUGCAGUGAGAUAUAACCUGAGACUCUGAAGAAACAGUACUUGUCAUUGACCUGUGUAAUGAGAAGUCUGAAAGUUUCUCUGGCAAAAAGAUGACCCUGUAGCAAAAUCAGGAUUUCUAUGUCUCAGGUAAGUAGACCAAAAUAUAGUGUUAUAUUGUAUUCAAGACAAGGACUCAGUUCUUGAAAAACUGGGAGAGCAAUCAUUUUUCAUGUGCAGUAUGCCCUGUUUCAGACAUUUGAAGAGAUCUUUAUGUCAGGAUACACCACAAACCCUGCCACUGACUUUGGGUCUUGGGUUCACCUGGGGUGGAUUGUGGAGGAUGGCAUGUUCACCAGUGGACUCUGGAGUGUUUGUUCCAGCAGCUUUCAAGAUCUCCCUGAUGGGCAAACUCAGGCUUACCUCCUGGGCUUGCUGCCCACUGUGAUCUGAUGGGACACACAGUUCAGACAUUGUUCGUCACAAAAAAUGAGGACAGACGGAUAUGUAUUGCUUCUCCAGUGACCCUGCAGAGUGCUCAGAGAAUUACAUUGUAUCCACAGACACGUGUGGCUGGCUGGCGUGCUUUUCCCUCCCUUUUCAGUGUCCUCUGAUGGAGAGAGCAAGAGUAUGAUGGCCAGCGACUUCUCCUUGUCAAAUAGAGGUGUUCUGUGGACCACUGCUUAGUGGGGAGGAGAUGCCACUUCAGGUAUGGUUCAAACUUCUCCUCAGCUAUCUCCCUAGUCACUGCUCCAAAGCUCUGCCUGAGCUGCUGCAGGUUCGGAACACUAAAUGCUCUGCAUAGCCAUUCUGCAGAGGGCCAUCUUAUGGCCCUCCCGAAGUCGAGGUGCCAUCCAUCAGGGGAGGAGACCAUGCAACCAGUCUCUGAAAACAUUAUCCAGUACCAGCUACAAUUGCACAAAGUCCCCAGGUUCAUACUUUUUACUGAGUCUUUGGGACAUCUUUGGGCUCACUGUGUUCUUGUGGAUGGCCUUCCAGUUUCUGCUGCAGGCUGGGAACUCUUCACAGGUGUGAGCACAGCACACUUGUCUUUGUGCUCUACUUGUGAUCAUACUGGGAUCUGGAAUGGAAGAAGAUAUUGCAGCUGUUGUUUAACCUGUUUAAAAUAUAUGAAUGCCUGUCUUUGCAACUAAUGACUUUGAAGUGGUAGUAUAUGUUGUAUUAUCUCACCAGAAUAUCUUCUUCCACAAGGCAUAGCUGGUUACUUUGAAAAUUAGACCAGGCUCCUCUCACAUGCAUGGGAUGUAGCGCUAUUUUUACACUUUUCCCUAGAUAUGUGCCGUUGGGCUCUCUUUAUAGCAGUGUAGACUUCAAGAUUGUUUUAAUAUCUCUAUUCAUGCUAGCUGUUCCAGAGUUGAGUCUGUUCUGGCACCACACGUUCAGUGACUCUUAGGCAGUGUCAGCAACAAGCUGCCAGGCUAGACUGACCUUUGGUCUGACAUGGUGUGGUUCUUGUAUCUUCCAUCUCUGCUGUCUUUGUUGGGUGAAUUUUGCAGAAUAUGUUGUAGGUCAGUGUAUUUCUUCUGGUUUAGCCAAAGAAGGGUAAUGUUUCAUUUGAAGACCCAUUUCAAAGAACCUUUUCAUUGUAGUCACCAGACAUCUGACUUUUUUACUUCCACUGACAUGGAGGUAGCCUUUUGAUCUGUUUUUUCCAAGCAUGAAAGGUCUACCCAGAGGGUAGAUCAUAUCUGUGACAACAACUAAAUAUCCACUGUCUGUUUUUAUUCACCACCCCAAUUGCAUUGCUGGAACUUUUAAAUUCUAUGGACUGAAAGAGAAACAAAUACUGAAUUGAGUCCAUUGAUAAUAAAAAAUGAUCUCACAAAGGCAGGCACUGAAGAAAUGUGUACUUGAAUAUGUGUUUAGCAAAAAAACCUCAGUGAUAGCAGCCCAAGGAGACACUUAGCUUGUAAGUGGUUUAAGUUUUCUGCAUUUUGGCUUAGAAUAGUGCUGUUUGCUAGAAAUCAGAAAAGUGAAAAUGAGGAAAAAGGAAGAGAUGAGUUAGCAAAAAUAGUAAUCUGUAUCCCUGGAUAAUGUUUUUGUCUUUUAGUUUUACAGUGGUAAGAUAAAGUUAAAGUAGCCGAAGGCCUAUUUCUACUAAAUUUACAAUCCACAUUCUGAUUUAAAGGUUCCUUUAUUGUUGUAUCUACCUCUGUUUCUGAAUAACCUUCAAGAGUGCAGUGAAUUCAGAACUGACAUCAGCUUAGCUAGACGUUAACAUUAUAUGGAUAUUUCAUGUUCUGCUAGUCAGGGAGUACAAGGUUGUGAUGGCUUAAAAAGUUGAAUCUUAGACACUGCUGAAUGCUUACAUGCAUAUAAAAAUACCUGAGGAGGCAUCAGCCAGAAUACAGAAAAUACAUGGAAUAAUACAUAGCCAUUGAUUAAAGUUGUGAUGAAAUAGCGUGUUCUAAGAAGUGUCUCUUGUGCCUCUUCUCCUUAUCCCACAUCAUGCUGUUUACUACCCGCAAAAAGCAUUAGAUCUUGAGGUAGGAGUCUGAAGUCCAGUGGAGAUUCACAGUAAUGCUGAGGUUGGAAGGGACCUCUGGAGAUCAUCUAGCCCAAGCUCCCUGCUUAGAACAGGGUCAACUUGAGCAGGUAGUUCAGGACCAUGUCCAGGCAUGUUUGUGAAUUCUCUCCAAGGAUGGACACUCCAUAACCACUCUAAACAGCUUAUUCCAGUGCUUGGCCACUGUCACACUAAACUUCUCUUAUGCUUAAGUGGAGUUUCCUGUGUUUCAGUGUGUGUUUGUUGCCUCCUGUCCUGUCACUGGAUACCAUUAAGAAUCUGGUUCUGUCUGCUUUCCUUCCUCCCAUCAGGUAUUUAUACAUAUUAAUAAGAUCCUCACUGACCCUUCUUUUCUCCAGGGUAAACAAUUCUACCUCUUUCAGCUUCUCCUUGUAUGAUAGGUGCUUCAGACCAUUAAUCAUCUCUGUGGCCCUUUACUGAGCUUACUCUGCUAUGUUCAUGUCUCUUGUGCUGGGGAGCCCAGUGCUGGACACAGCAUUCCAGGCAGGAUCUCACCAGUGCUGAACAGAAUGGAAGGAUCACCUUCCUCAACCUGCUAGCAAUGCUCUCCCUCCCCGAGUCCUGGAAGCCAUUUGCCUUCUUCACCACAAGGGCACGUUGCUGACUUAUGUUCAACCAGAAUGCCUAGAUCCCUUUCUUCAGAGGGGCUUUCAAGCUAGUUGGCACCCAGCCUGUACUGGUGUGUGGGGUUCUUCCACUCUAGGUGCAGAAUUUAACAUUCCACUCUGUUGAAUUUCAUUAGUCCACUUCUUCAGACUGUCAGGGUCCCUCUGAUGGCAGCACAACCAUCUAGUGUGUUAACCACUCCUUCCAGUUUUGUACUGUCUGCACAAUUGCUGAGGGUGAUCUCUGUCCCAUUGUCCAGACAAUUAAUGAUGAUUAAUACGAUUGCUCCAGUAUCAGUGCCUGGCAUACACCAUUACUGACAGGCCUCCAGCUGGACCUUGUGCCAUUGAUCACAACACUUUGAGCCUGACAGUUCAGCAAGUUUUCAGUCUACCUCACAGUCCAUUUAUCCAGGCCAUGCUUCAUCAUAUUCUGAGGAACUUUAAAGAUUUAGUAAACAAAUGCUGAGUAUGAAUAUAAAAGUGCAUACUCAUUCUUGUAAAAUCUAGAAUAUGUUUAUUGGAUGGACUGUAACAAAAUGUUUCUGCUGAAUUAUAAUAGUUUGAUUUUCAGUUAACAGAGAAAUUCACAAUUCCUGCUUUACUAUUUCUGCAUGGAUGAGGGCAGUGUCAGGCUUAUUUUGUUAUGAAGAGAUAAUUGAUCAAUAUUCCCUGCAUAGCUGAUUCAGUUCUACUGUCAUAUAAAUUAUUUGCUUAUUUGUACUUCCUAUAGCUAGGCCAUUUCUAGUAAUCUAUGUAAACAAUAUUAAUAAAAUGAAUUAUGUGAGCAUUUUCCAUCAACUUUUAAAUCUUUUGGUUUUGAACAUUUUAGUUGCCCUUUUGCCAGGUCAGAUUAUGAGUGAGUUCAUAUGAGUGAACUCAUAUUACUGUAUCACACUGAGGGCAGAGAGUUUUCCAUGAGAUUUCUGUGCAGAAUAAACAGCAGAAACUGAAUUAGUGCAACAUCCAGAAUCUUUCUGAAAGUGCUUCCUUGGUACUUUAAUCUGUCUGGUGGCAAUUAAGAGCUGUUUCUGUGACACAUCUAACUGAGCAACACCUCGAUCUCAAAGAAACAGUUCCUCCAAAAUGUGUGGGGACUAUCCACAUGGUUUGAUGCUUUCCAAUUUAUUUUUCACUCUCUACCCUGGUCCUGUUGAUUGGAUUGUGUAGUUUGUUUACAGAAGCACAUCACUGCUGUUUGUUAAGAGAUUCUGAGGGUUAAGUAUACCGAACUGGUGCUUUCUGUCUUUUUCCCAGGACUUGGCAUGUGAAGUGUCUGGCCUUGAGGAAUCAAUACCUCAGACCCACUAAGUCCUUCUGUGUACUCAGCAAAGUAUUUGCCUUACUUUGGUAAGUGGUGCCCAACAAAACAAAUACCAGAACCAGGAAGUGCAUCUUUCUGCCUCUUAAUAUGCAUUUCUUUGUCUCCAGGUCCUCCUGGAUCCUUUUUACAUGCCAGUCUUAAUCCUGAGCAUCUGACACCUCUCCAAGAGUUCCUGAGAUGUCAAACUCCUUUCAGCUCUAGAAAACUUCGGCACAUUUAUCUUUGUUUUAAUUAACCCAUCUUUACUUUUCUGAAGGAUUUCCUCAAGUACACUUUCUGACAUUCAUUUCUCUUUUUGUUUAUGUAGCCCUAGGACAGUAGGGAGGAUCGUAAGAGUGAAGCUGUGACUCUUCUUCUUCAUCUGGAAUUUAUGUCUUUGUUGGAACAUACAUAAAUGAGGUUGUCUCAAUAUCAAUAACAGAGGUAGGAAGGUAAUUUCUCAGAGGAGAUCUCUUACAUAAUCUAUGACUUUCUUGUAGAUACUGUUUUUAUAGGGUGAAAAGGACAUAUGGGGCUGGCACCUCCAAAUUCAUUUGUGUGUCCAUUUUAAACACACCCAUUCAAACUCGUCCUUGGUGUCUUUAACCUUGACAGAGCUUCAUACAAAUACAUUUGAUCUGCUGUAACAUCAUGUCCUGGUGUUGGUUAAAACAAGGCAAAUUCUUUGUUAGUGAAUUUUCCUUUAAGCUAGGUUCUUCUAAGUAACUGCAUUUUUCUGAUGCUGGCUGCAUGUUUUUCAGACAGUGUUCAUUCUACAGCUGGUAACAGCCCAUAUUCACAGUUUUACUGAGCUAAUGGUAGAAAUGGUAUGCAGAAAAGGCCCACGUUUAUCUUUUAUUGCUAUAUCAGCCAAAGUCACUGAUAAAUUUUGUACAUCCCAUAAGUGAGAGAGUGGUAGUUGUAGGGAGGGGCGAACAGAGCAGGUGACCCAAACUGACAAACUAGGUAUUCCAUGCCAUCCACAUCAUACACAGCAUAAAGUUGGGAGAUCACAAGGAUCUUGCUCUCUUUGUCCAUGGCUGGCAUCUGAAGAGGACCCCGCCUCUUCUGCCUGUGAUCCUGAUCCUGGUUCUAGUCUGUGCAUCCCUGAAUCCAGUUCCUGUCUACUGUGGGAUCCAGUCCAGAACUUCCAGUGUAUGUCCUCCGGCCUUGGGCGCAACGCCUGCCACCUGCAGGCUGCUACGGUGCUAUCCGGGGAAAUUAAAUAUUGGUUUUGUAUAUUUGCAUUAUUUUCUAUUAUUAGUAGUAUUAUUAGUAAAGUUUUUUUUUAACCUAUCAACUUGUAAGUCUCUCUCUCUUUUCCUCCUAUUCCCUUUCCUUAGUGGGGAGGGUGGGGGUUAAUAGGGAGCAUCUGCCACAGUUAAUUGUUGCCCUUCAGUAAACGGUUACACAUUAAUAAUCAUUGUGAUGGCACUUAUAAUCAGCCUACAAGAGGCCAACAGAAGAUACUUUCAGCAUGAAAAUGACAAACAAGAGCACCUGAGCUCAGGUUAGAUGUUAACUCCAGGCUUUUACAUCUCCAGCAGUAGGACAGCAGUGGGAGUUAGAAGCAUAUAUAGAGUCUCUCAGUCCACUGCCAAUGCAAGGACUUCUCUUAUAAUUUAUGAUUUAAAGCUUUAUGGACAGGUGAGUAUUGUCUGUCGGUGAUAUUGCCUAUUCAUUGGCAAUUCAUGUCAUUUUGCCUUGUCACGAAGAUUGCAAGUUACUUGCUAUUUUGAAAUGUUAUUUCUGGUUCUUAGACUUGGAAGCAGGAAUAUGUUCAUGUUUAGGUGUUGGAUGAUAUGAUUGAAACAUUUUUGUUCCCAAAUGGAAAAGGAAGGUCAAAACCCUUUCAAAACUCUUAUUCCAGGAAGCCAAUGCAACACAACUGGCUCUGAAACAAGCUUCAUGUUAAGAUACAGUACUUUUGGAAAAGGACUGUGCUGGAGUAUUGCAACGCUGGCCCAUCUCUGUUUUCAAGACCAAUGUGGCUUCAGGCAUUAGUUUCUUAAAAACAGUGAGAGAACAUAAUGGGCCUGAUCUGUGAAAGCCUGCCAGUGAGCAGCUGUAGCAGGAGCUCCUGCAGCCAGGCUGAGGUGGUACGCAAGCAGGAGGAAGGCAGAAGCAGUGCUGCUGUUCCAGCUGCCAGAAGGUGCUGCUCUACAGGUAGCCUCUCUUGCUGUCCUCUUCCUGUCACUCAGGCUGGGGUAGAGGAGCCAGAAAUUAGUGGCUAGUGCUUGCAGUAUUCAAGGUUUAGGCCAGGUUCCACAUGUCUUCUAAGUCAGCUGAAGAACUGUUCUCAGGGAUGAUCACGUGUUGCCCACCAAGCAGAACUCAGAUAGCUUUGCAACCCCACAUGCUUUACCUUUGUCAACCCACCACGCGCACGAGGUAUGGAUGCAAUUAUAUCUCUUCAGCUGACCUCAAGCUGUAACCCUUGUACCAAACAGCUAUUUACUGCUGACUUGAACAGCUCUCAUCACCCUCUAGUAAGCAUUGAGCUGAGCACCUCUAGUACCCACUGGUCUGAGCACGUCUAACCACCUUUCUUCUACUAUGUGUCUCAACUUUCUCUAUAGAUAAGCAGGGACUGCCUGUAUACACAACCCUUGGUACUAAUGGAGAAGAAAAUGCAAAAGCUAUGGGAAGUACUUGAACGGAUGCUGAUCUAUUGCUGUGGCUGCCUCACCCCUUAUACUGGAAACCUGAGGCAGAGUAUAUUGGCCAUGCACUGUAGUUUAUUGGUUAUUUGUAAGUUGAAGAUUUUUUUUUUUAUAACAUUCCCAACAUGUCAGAUGGAGCUGGUCAUAACUUGAUAAAUAUGAAGAAUGGCUGUUGACAAGCCAGUCCCAAACAACAGUUCUGGUAUGAUGCUAAUGCACAGGUUUUGGGGUACCCAGCCAUUUCCGUUCCUCUUUGUUAACAUCCAUUGUCAACUGUUCUACUGCAGUUCAGGAAGCAGGAAGUUAAUUCUCUUCUUACUGGACCAUACUGAGAGGGAGCACUGGGAGUAGGCUUGUUGAGUCUCUCUAGUUGGGUGUAGGCAAGGAGCUGAUGGGAGCUUUGCAGGCUGGUUCAGGUAGAAAAACAUGGGUGAAAAUUUCACUUGGCUUCUGCUGCUGAAUCGGUUAAUCCACUUCCCCAGAUUAGAGCUGAACAGGACAGAAAACAUUUUGAAUUUAAGAGUAAGGUAAUCUUCCUGGCCACAAGCUCAGCUCAGUUGUGAUGUCAGGACAUACUGUGCAAAGCUAGGGAGGGCAAUGAUUAACU